RNAcentral lists this non-coding RNA (45 nucleotides) under Schistosoma haematobium. The record is from RNAcentral. Lineage: Eukaryota; Metazoa; Platyhelminthes; Trematoda; Strigeidida; Schistosomatidae.
AUCCAUCUGAUGAGUCCAAAAUAGGACAAAAUAUGUGUCCUGAAU